This 253-nucleotide ribosomal RNA is filed under the name uncultured bacterium. Its description in RNAcentral is "partial 16S ribosomal RNA". It matches the Rfam family "Bacterial small subunit ribosomal RNA", at positions 524 to 776 of the family's 1533-position model. The record is from RNAcentral.
UACGUAGGGCGCAAGCGUUAUCCGGAAUUAUUGGGCGUAAAGAGCUCGUAGGCGGUUUGUCGCGUCUGCCGUGAAAGUCCGGGGCUUAACUCCGGAUCUGCGGUGGGUACGGGCAGACUUGAGUGAUGUAGGGGAGACUGGAAUUCCUGGUGUAGCGGUGAAAUGCGCAGAUAUCAGGAGGAACACCGAUGGCGAAGGCAGGUCUCUGGGCUGUAACUGACGCUGAGGAGCGAAAGCAUGGGGAGCGAACAGG